UUUAACGAGAGUUUGAUCCUGGCUCAGGAUGAACGCUGGCGGCGUGCUUAACACAUGCAAGUCGAACGAAGCGCUUGAAUGGAAUUCUUCGGAAGGAAGCUUAAGUGACUGAGUGGCGGACGGGUGAGUAACGCGUGGGUAACCUGCCUCAUACAGGGGGAUAACAGUUAGAAAUGACUGCUAAUACCGCAUAAGCACACGUGAUCGCAUGAU
RNAcentral lists this non-coding RNA (213 nucleotides) under Lachnospiraceae bacterium 9_1_43BFAA. Its description in RNAcentral is "Bacterial small subunit ribosomal RNA". It matches the Rfam family "Bacterial small subunit ribosomal RNA", at positions 1 to 194 of the family's 1533-position model. The record is from Rfam by way of RNAcentral. Lineage: Bacteria; Bacillati; Bacillota; Clostridia; Lachnospirales; Lachnospiraceae.